RNAcentral lists this long non-coding RNA (845 nucleotides) under Androctonus crassicauda. The record is from RNAcentral. Lineage: Eukaryota; Metazoa; Arthropoda; Arachnida; Scorpiones; Buthidae.
GCUGCAUUUAAAUUAUACGAAGUUACAACUUGCAUAUAUUUAAAAUAGUUUGAUAUGUCAUAAAUUCUUAUGCAUAAAACAAAAAAGCAUUUAAAUUGUAAAUAUAAUACAAUUUAUUAUUGUUUUAACGCAAGUAGAGCGAUAUGCAGCUGCCAGUGUCGAGAAAGCAUUUCAAUGCAUCAGGAAACUGCAAUCUGUCUUUCUACUUUGGGGAAAAACUGUGCUUAGCAGAUUUGGGAUCGAUCCAGACCCCUAAGGGCCAGUUCUCACUGAUUUCUUGUGUUAGAUCUACGCUAGCUUUCAGAUUGGUAAGACCAUUCUUGAUAGUGGAAACAGAAUAAUGGAAUUUCAAUCACUUAAUGAGGUCUCGUCCGACCAGCUGCACUGCGCUUUGGCUAUCUGAUUAUCGUCGUCAUAAUUUACCUUUUGUGACAAAAAAUUCAUAUUUUUACGCUUUAUAUAUAUAUAUCAGCGCCAUCUGCCAAUCAGUUUUAAUACUAAAUCGAAUAAUUAAAGAAUUUUUCUUGGGCGAAUUCUUACUUGUUAGUAAUAGGAAGAUGGAUAGGCUACAUAGCAGCAGAAGAUUUUCCUUUCUGAUACAAAUGUAUUUAAACUGAAGGAUAUAUUGAAUUAACUUUAAGAUAACUGAUAUUCGGUGACAAAUUUAGUGUAUUUUUGUUUAAAUUAUUAUACAGCAUUAUCUAUUCUUUUUGUUUAUUCUUAAGUUAAAAGACGAUAAAAAGAAAUUCUGUUUUGUAAUUCAGUUUAAAUCUUAUUUAUUGCAUCAAGAAUUUGAGUGAAAUUUUAAGAUGUUUAUUAAUUUAUAGUGAAUUAAGUAUAAAUUA